Molecule: long non-coding RNA, 2022 nt
Organism: Vidua chalybeata
Lineage: Eukaryota; Metazoa; Chordata; Aves; Passeriformes; Viduidae
Exons: 3
Source: RefSeq, a predicted model, not a curated record
CAGAGCUCCAUCCAACCUGGCCUAGAACACUUCCAGGAAUGGGGCUUCCACAAUUUCUCAAGGCAACCUGUGCCAGGACCUCACCAUUCCCCCAGGAAAAUAAUUCCUUCCUGACAUCUGAUCUAACCCUACUCUCUGUAAAUUUGUACUCAUUCCUCCUUGUUCUCUCACUACAGUUUCUGAUGAAAAAUCUCUAUCUGGCUUCCUUGUAGGCAUCCAUGGGAGACAAUGUUGCCUAGCAUAGUUUGGAUCAGUGAAAAGUCUCAUAGAGAUAUUUGCAAUAAUUUCAUUUAAAUGGUACCAGCACUUCAUAAAAGUUCAAGACAUGAGGAAACAAGCUUGAAAGAGAAGAGCCCUGAGCAAUGUGUUAUAAAAGCUUGCGUAUAAAUACCUCCUGUAAUCAAAUAUACUGAGGUUCCUGCAGCACUACAAUGACAGCACUGCUGUAAAUGAAAGCAGUAAAGCAGUCAUAGGACCUCGUGGGGAAAAGAAAUGAAAAUGGACUACGCUUUCAGCAGGAAAAGCCUUAGUCAGGAACAGAGUCUAGAGAAAUGCCACAGGCAAGUAAGUUAUAUGUCCUUCCAAGAAAUAUAACUGUUUGUCCACCAGGGCUGGUAAAUUCCUCCACUUUCAGCUUCGCAGUCUGAGUCAAAUGCUGCAGUUUUGGGGAGCUGUGCAGCCUUUGUCUUGCUGGUACAAAUGUUAGUUUUGUUCUUGGGUAUUUUAUCUCAAGGUUGAAGCUAGCACUCUGAAAGGUGAGUGGAGUUAUUUCUACAAAAAUAAAUAAAGGAAAAAUCUAAGUAACUCCAAGGCCAAUAAAAAUAAAGAAUGAGCUAUGCUGCCCCAUUAGAUGCCUUUUUUUUUUUUUUUGUUAGAUAAAUAUCAAGUUUAUGCUUUACUGUUUCUGGUUGGUUUUACUUCUUCUCAGUCCAUCAAGAAAUCUGCUGACAAAAGGAAAGACAUUUUUCUUUCUUUCUAACACAUAUAGUAUAAGUCUUGAAGGGAGCAUAAAGAAACUUCCAAAUAAUUUCUUAACAAUACCUUGUGCAACAUUAAAAACAGUAACACGUUAAUUUUCCCUUAUGACUAAUGUGAAGCCUUUACCUGUCUCCUACCCCAAAAAUUACCAGCUUGUUAGAAAGAGAACUCAAGAUUUAUGGCUCAAAUGCCUCUUGUUUCAUUCUCCUGGGCAUCAGCCUGGUCAAGGAAAGCUGUAUUGAUCACUACAGUGAUCUAUCCCUCUUUUUGACUAGACAACAACUUGAACUCAAGCAGACAAAUUUGUUUCAGCCAUCAAAAUGAAACUUUUUAAAUUGAAACUCAGCUUUGUAAAAGACUGUAGGUAGCCUGAAUAUCUGAAAUGUAGAAUAUUAAAAAAAAAGCUUGGUAAGGGAAGUUAGAGAAGUGAAAGGGAAAACAGGAUUAUCCCAAAAAAAUAUUCACCUUUUCUUUUUUGUUUGUUUGUUUGUUUGUUUUGGUUUUUGUUUUUUUUGUUUGAGCCGCACAGCAUAUAUUCAAAAUGUCCAGAACUGAGCAUAUUUACAGAGACCUGCCUGCAAGAAGAAAUCAGUGAGUGCUGUUGGCACACACUGCACACUGUGUGUAAAGGAGCUCACCCUGCAACAACUGAGAGUGGCUGAAAUACUUUCAGUAUUUAGACCAUGACGAUGUACCAGCUCUCCUUAGAGACUGAAAGCAUAAGAAGAUGUUGGUGUCCACUAGAGCAGAUUAGAACUAUUGUCUGACAUAUUCUUGUUGAAAUCAAUCAGAAGAGGAAAGGCUGAAAGAUUUGGGAUUGUUCAGCCUAGAAGAGAGAACACUUUGGGGUGACCUAAUUGUGACCUUCCAGUACCUGAAGGGAGCCCACAAGAUGGACAAAGAGAGACUAUUUACAAAGCACAUAAUUUGUAUCCACAUCACUACAGAACUGAUGUUUAAGGUGAGCAUUUAUCUCAGAAUUUGACUUGUGAGCUGGCCUGUAUUUUCCUAUAUCCUUACAUCUCCAGAUUUUCUCUGGUUAGC